AGAGUUUGAUCCUGGCUCAGAACGAACGCUGGCGGCAGGCCUAACACAUGCAAGUCGAACGCCCCGCAAGGGGAGUGGCAGACGGGUGAGUAACGCGUGGGAACCUUCCCAUUGGUACGGAAUAGCCCAGGGAAACUUGGAGUAAUACCGUAUGUGCCCGAAAGGGGAAAGAUUUAUCGCCAAUGGAUGGGCCCGCGUCG
Molecule: ribosomal RNA, 200 nt
Filed under: uncultured bacterium
Lineage: Bacteria
Description: partial 16S ribosomal RNA
Rfam family: Bacterial small subunit ribosomal RNA
Source: RNAcentral